AUGAACGCUGGCGGCGUGCCUAAUACAUGCAAGUCGCGCGAACAGACGAGGAGCUUGCUCCUCUGACGUUAGCGGCGGACGGGUGAGUAACACGUGGAUAACCUACCUAUAAGACUGGGAUAACUUCGGGAAACCGGAGCUAAUACCGGAUAAUAUAUUGAACCGCAUGGUUCAAUAGUGAAAGACGGUUUUGCUGUCACUUAUAGAUGGAUCCGCGCCGCAUUAGCUAGUUGGUAAGGUAACGGCUUACCAAGGCGACGAUGCGUAGCCGACCUGAGAGGGUGAUCGGCCACACUGGAACUGAGACACGGUCCAGACUCCUACGGGAGGCAGCAGUAGGGAAUCUUCCGCAAUGGGCGAAAGCCUGACGGAGCAACGCCGCGUGAGUGAUGAAGGUCUUCGGAUCGUAAAACUCUGUUAUUAGGGAAGAACAAAUGUGAAAGUAACUAUGCACGUCUUGACGGUACCUAAUCAGAAAGCCACGGCUAACUACGUG
Molecule: ribosomal RNA, 496 nt
Filed under: uncultured bacterium
Lineage: Bacteria
Description: partial 16S ribosomal RNA
Rfam family: Bacterial small subunit ribosomal RNA
Source: RNAcentral